GUUGAUCCUGCGUGAGAUUGCUGCUAUUUGGGUUCGAUUUAGCCAUGCAAGUCAGGUAGUAAUACCGGCAGAAUGCUCAGUAACACGUCAUUAACCUACCCUCGGGUCUGGGAUAACCCCGAGAAAUUGAGGGUAAACCCGGAUAGAGAAAAAAUUCUGGAAUAAAUUUUUCUUGAAAAGUAAUGCCUUAGGAUGGGAUGGCGGCUGAUUAGGUCGUUGGUGAGGUAAAGGCUCACCAAGCCGAAGAUCAGUAGGGGCCUUGAGAGAGGGAGCCCCGAGAAGGGCACUGAGAUACUGGCCCUAGCCCUACGGGGUGCAGCAGGCGCGAAACCUUUACAAUGCAGGAAACUGUGAUAAGGGAACCCAAAGUGCUAUCACUUUGUGCUAGCUUUUUUCAAAGGUAAAUACUUUGAAGAAUAAGUGGUGGGCAAGACUGGUGCCGGCAGCCGCGGUAACACCAGCGCCACGAGUGGCAAUCAUGUUUACUUGGCCUAAAGCGUCCGUAGCCGGUUUGAUAACUCUUUUGUGAAAUUGUUGUACUCAAUAUAACACCGUGCAGAAGAAACUGUCAAACUUGGGACCGGGAGGAGUCAGAGGUAUUCAUUGGGGAGCGGUAAAAUGCUAUAAUCCUUUGAAGACCACCUGUGGCGAAGGCGUCUGACUAGAACGGAUCCGACGGUGAGGGACGAAAGCCAGGGGAGCGAACCGGAUUAGAUACCCGAGUAGUCCUGGCCGUAAACUCUGCGAGCUAGAUGUUGCAUUUUCUCCGUGAAAGUGCAGUAUCGUAGCGAAGGCGUUAAGCUCGCCGCCUGGGAAGUAUGGUCGCAAGACUGAAACUUAAAGGAAUUGGCGGGGGAGCACCACAAGGGGUGCGGCGUGCGGUUUAAUCUAACUCAACACAGAGAAUCUCACCAGCAGCGACGGCAGAAUGAAGGUCAAGUUGAAGGCUUUACCUAACAAGCCGAGAGGUGGUGCAUGGCCGCCGUCAGCUCGUGCCGUAAGGUGUCCAGCUAAGUCUGGUAACGAGCGAGAUCUGUGCCCGCAAUUGCUAACAAAUUCUUCGGAAUGAUUGAGCACAUUGCGGGGACUGCCUUCGAAAGAAGGAGGAAGGUGCAGGCCACGGUAGGUCUGUAUGCCCCGAAUCUGCUGGGCUACACGCGCGCAACAAUGGUUAAGACAAUGGGCCACGACUCCGAAAGGAGAAGUUAAUCCUCGAAACUUAAUCUCAGUUCAGAUUGAGGAUUGUAACUCAUCCUCAUGACGCUGGAACCCCUAGUAAUCAGAAGUUAUCAUCUUCUGGUGAAUAUGUCCCUGCUCCUUGCACACACCGCCCGUCAAGCCAUCCGAGCAGGGUUUAGGUGAGAGUUGGUUUUUUUGAUCAUCUCGAACCUAAGCUCAGUGAGGCGGGUUAAGUCGUCACAAGGUA
Molecule: ribosomal RNA, 1426 nt
Filed under: metagenome
Description: bacterial SSU rRNA
Rfam family: Archaeal small subunit ribosomal RNA
Source: RNAcentral